AUUGAACGCUGGCGGCAGGCCUAACACAUGCAAGUCGAGCGGUAGAGAGGUGCUUGCAUCUCUUGAGAGCGGCGGACGGGUGAGUAAUGCCUAGGAAUCUGCCUAGUGGUGGGGGAUAACGUUCGGAAACGGACGCUAAUACCGCAUACGUCCUACGGGAGAAAGCGGGGGAUCUUCGGACCUCGCGCCAUUAGAUGAGCCUAGGUCGGAUUAGCUAGUUGGUGAGGUAAUGGCUCACCAAGGCGACGAUCCGUAACUGGUCUGAGAGGAUGAUCAGUCACACUGGAACUGAGACACGGUCCAGACUCCUACGGGAGGCAGCAGUGGGGGAAUAUUGGACAAUGGGCGAAAGCCUGAUCCAGCCAUGCCGCGUGUGUGAAGAAGGUCUUCGGAUUGUAAAGCACUUUAAGUUGGGAGGAAGGGUAGUAACCUAAUACGUU
This 440-nucleotide ribosomal RNA is filed under the name uncultured bacterium. RNAcentral describes it as "bacterial SSU rRNA". It matches the Rfam family "Bacterial small subunit ribosomal RNA", at positions 30 to 470 of the family's 1533-position model. The record is from RNAcentral.